CUGGGUGCUGUUGUACCUCGACAGCAAACUCAGGAGGUUUGCUAGAAAGCAUCAGAUGGAUGGCAAAGAAGUGCAGGGAGCACCACUAAGUCCAGCUGCUGGACAGCAUCCGAUGUGUGGUGAAGGAGUGCCAAGAUCUAUGUCAUGAAUUACCUCUAAGAGCAGCUGAGGUUUGCUAGAAAGCAUCAGGUGGAUGGCAAAGAAGUGCAAGUUGGGCCAAGAUCAGCUAAACAAGAUGCAAUGUAAAAACUGCUUUAAAUUGAUAUUAAAAGUGCAUUUAGAUUGGAAUUUGUGUUUGCCACUGCAGGAAUCUCCUCCAAUGCCAGCUACUAGAAAGCAUCUGAUGGAUGUCAAAGGAGUGCCAAGAUCUAUGUCAUGCAAGUUCAACUAUAAAAGCUGCAACUUCCAUGCAAAAAGGCUAAUUAAAACCGUCUUAAAUGGAUAUUAAACACAGAUUUAGUUUGCAAUUUGUGUUUCCUUCUACAGGUUUCACCUCUAAGGCCAGCUGAGGUUUGCUAGAGAGCAUCAGGUGGAUGACGAAGAAGUGCAAGUUGGGCCAAAGAUCAGCUAAAAGAGAUGCACCUCCAAUGCAAAAAACUGUUUUAACUUGAUAUUAAAGGUGUAUUUAGUUUGCAAUUUGUUCCCUACUGCAAGAAUCAUCCAUAAUAGCAGCUGAGGUUUGCUGAUGGAUGGCCAAGGAGGGCAGGUUAGGCCAUAAUCAGCUAAAAGAGAUGCACCUCCAACAUAAAAACUGCUUUAAAUAGAUAUUAAAGGCACAUUUACUUUGCAAUUUGUGUUUGCUCCUGCAGGAAUCACCUCUGAAACCAGCUGAGGUUUGCUAGAAAGCAUCAGAUGGAUGUCAAAGAAGGUUGGGCAGCUGAAAGAGACUCACCAGUACAAAAACAGCUCAUUCAAACUGUUUUAAAUUGAUAUUAAAAGCACAUUUGGUUUGAAAUUUGUGUUUGGAAUUACUCAGCCUCACCUAUAAUACCAGCUCAUCCCCAUUUCCCUUGUUUCCUUGAUCGACUUUGUUCUAAAAACUGCACGUUUGUCAUGUGAAGCACCUCUCGAGUUGGUCAGUAGCGCAAAUUUCAAAAGCUUCUGCCCACUCUCCUGAAAACACUGGUCACUUGUCCUCCCGACGUCUGACUCCGUGCAGCAAACACAGAGCAGGUUUCCAACUCGCCGCUCUCCACCGGUGCCGGAGAAAAAGCAGAGCACAAUGUAAUAAAGUGAACGUUGACAUUUAA
Acanthochromis polyacanthus (spiny chromis) is the source of this 1250-nucleotide long non-coding RNA. RefSeq lists it as uncharacterized. The record is from RefSeq and is a predicted model, not a curated record. NCBI's taxonomy places the organism in Eukaryota, Metazoa, Chordata, Actinopteri, Pomacentridae. The transcript is spliced from 3 exons.